AACUCUGUAUUUCAAGAGA
RNAcentral lists this small nuclear RNA (19 nucleotides) under Arabidopsis thaliana (thale cress). RNAcentral's name for it is "snRNA_00655". Lineage: Eukaryota; Viridiplantae; Streptophyta; Magnoliopsida; Brassicales; Brassicaceae. The record is from RNAcentral.